RNAcentral lists this ribosomal RNA (365 nucleotides) under uncultured bacterium. Its description in RNAcentral is "bacterial SSU rRNA". It matches the Rfam family "Bacterial small subunit ribosomal RNA", at positions 143 to 507 of the family's 1533-position model. The record is from RNAcentral.
AUAACCUUGCGAAAGUAAGACUAAUACCCAAUGAUAUCCCACGAAGGCAUCCGAAUGGGAUUAAGAUUUAUCGGUGAUGGAUGGGGAUGCGUCUGAUUAGCUUGUUGGCGGGGUAACGGCCCACCAAGGCAACGAUCAGUAGGGGUUCUGAGAGGAAGGUCCCCCACAUUGGAACUGAGACACGGUCCAAACUCCUACGGGAGGCAGCAGUGAGGAAUAUUGGUCAAUGGGCGAGAGCCUGAACCAGCCAAGUAGCGUGCAGGAUGACGGCCCUAUGGGUUGUAAACUGCUUUUAUGCGGGGAUAAAGCGGGCGACGUGUCGCCCCUUGCAGGUACCGCAUGAAUAAGGACCGGCUAAUUCCGUG